GGGGAAUCUUAGACAAUGGGGGCAACCCUGAUCUAGCCAUGCCGCGUGAGUGAUGAAGGCCUUAGGGUUGUAAAGCUCUUUCAGCUGUGAAGAUAAUGACGGUAGCAGCAGAAGAAGUCCCGGCUAACUCCGUGCCAGCAGCCGCGGUAAUACGGAGGGGACUAGCGUUGUUCGGAAUUACUGGGCGUAAAGCGCACGUAGGCGGAUCGAAAAGUUGGGGGUGAAAUCCCGGGGCUCAACCCCGGAACUGCCUUCAAAACUAUCGGUCUGGAGUUCGAGAGAGGUGAGUGGAAUUCCGAGUGUAGAGGUGAAAUUCGUAGAUAUUCGGAGGAACACCAGUGGCGAAGGCGGCUCACUGGCUCGAUACUGACGCUGAGGUGCGAAAGCGUGGGGAGCAAAC
This 400-nucleotide ribosomal RNA is filed under the name uncultured bacterium. RNAcentral describes it as "bacterial SSU rRNA". It matches the Rfam family "Bacterial small subunit ribosomal RNA", at positions 356 to 773 of the family's 1533-position model. The record is from RNAcentral.